UUGCUUUAGCAGCACAUAUACUAAUAUUGGACUGACACAGAGAAGAAUAACAUGGUCUCUAUGCAAGUAUGACACGGAAAUUUGUGAAGCAUUUCACAUUUUU
RNAcentral lists this small nuclear RNA (103 nucleotides) under Notamacropus eugenii (tammar wallaby). Lineage: Eukaryota; Metazoa; Chordata; Mammalia; Diprotodontia; Macropodidae. The record is from RNAcentral.